Molecule: ribosomal RNA, 22 nt
Filed under: uncultured Tulasnellaceae
Lineage: Eukaryota; Fungi; Basidiomycota; Agaricomycetes; Cantharellales; Tulasnellaceae
Description: partial 28S ribosomal RNA
Source: RNAcentral
AGCAUAUUGAUCAGCGGAGGAA